Molecule: long non-coding RNA, 662 nt
Filed under: Anas platyrhynchos platyrhynchos (common mallard)
Lineage: Eukaryota; Metazoa; Chordata; Aves; Anseriformes; Anatidae
Description: lncRNA (ENSAPLG00000019431.1)
Source: RNAcentral
GGAUGAGUGAGGAGAGUUUUGUUCUUAAAACUGAGCAUUUCUAAGAGCCACUUAAAGUGGAGCACACAUUGGAUUUUUUUCCCUGUUGUCACAGGCUACCUUGUCCUGAAGGCUGUUCCAUUUUGAAGAAUGGAGUUCAGUAAUUGCCCCCUGACAGACCUCCCUGUCAACUCUUCAGGAUAUCGGUGCUGGAUUGUUUGCUGGGAAAACACCUAAAGUCAACACAGGGAGAGAAACAGCAUAUGCCAUGUAGAAUUUGAAGAUGCUACUGGAUACAGCAAGAUCAGAAGCAAAAGUCAGCUAUUCACAAAACUCAGCACAUUACCAUUAUCACAGGGGAUUGCGGUUAAGGAGUAGCACUGAAACCCUUCUGGCUGAACAGCUCGGGGGCCUGGCCAUGUCCCUGGCACCUGGAUGGAGCUGCUCUGAUCCCCGGGGACAGCCCUGACCCUAUGCUGGCGGAUGAGCUGCUGAGCCCUGGUGUGUUCUGGUGGGUCGCAGUUUUCCAGGAGGGAGCACAGCCAGGCACAGCACUGCUAAUUGCAGGGACGGGUCUGUCAUCAGGACACAGUCCGAUGAGCUGCUGCAGUCAAGUAAAUCUGUGUAUCGCCUCGCAGCGGAGGGGCGUUGCAGAUGCAUAGGAUUUAAGAGCUCUCACCUCC